RNAcentral lists this ribosomal RNA (276 nucleotides) under uncultured Lachnospiraceae bacterium. RNAcentral describes it as "partial 16S ribosomal RNA". The stretch from base 38 to 276 matches the Rfam family "Bacterial small subunit ribosomal RNA", at positions 100 to 339 of the family's 1533-position model. Lineage: Bacteria; Bacillati; Bacillota; Clostridia; Lachnospirales; Lachnospiraceae. The record is from RNAcentral.
AUUUCCUUCGGGACUGAUUAUUUUGUGACUGAGUGGCGGACGGGUGAGUAACGCGUGGGUAACCUGCCUUGUACAGGGGGAUAACAGUUGGAAACGGCUGCUAAUACCGCAUAAGCGCACAGGACCGCAUGAUCCGGUGUGAAAAACUCCGGUGGUAUGAGAUGGACCCGCGUCUGAUUAGCUGGUUGGUGAGGUAACGGCUCACCAAGGCGACGAUCAGUAGCCGGCUUGAGAGAGUGAACGGCCACAUUGGGACUGAGACACGGCCCAAACUCC